AUGGAGGAAUCUAUCAGCUCGUCUAGGACCCCGGGUGCUUUAGCUUCAGUCUUGGACGGCGACGUCGACUGCUACGCAUCCGGGCCUGCCACCGCCGUGGCUUCCGACGACAGCGGCUGGACAGCCUACUUCAUCGACGGCGACGACACCUACCUGCAGUUGCACAACUCCCAAGAGGUGCCAGCGAAGAAGCCCCACGGCGACCGCGCCUCCACUUCCACCUUGUCCACCGCCAGCAAGACCAAGGCCAAGGCGAAGAAGGCAGCAGGCACCGAGGAGAACAACAAGAAGAAGAUGCCUCGUUUGGAACCAGCUGAUGAAGACCCUCUCCAAGACACAGCCUGCUCCCCUGCAAAUGCAACUCCUCAACUUCACCUGCAGGAUGGCUGGCAAAUUGCUGGCUGCGAGUGUGAGCAGAGAUCAUCGUCCGCGGCACCAGCAGCGCGGCAGUGGGUUGAGUACUGCAGGUGGGAUUCUUCUCGGGAGGGGCCGGAUGCAGAAAUUAAAGAGGUGUUGGCUUAG
This 522-nucleotide ribosomal RNA is filed under the name Triticum aestivum (bread wheat). Its description in RNAcentral is "partial small subunit ribosomal RNA". The record is from RNAcentral. Lineage: Eukaryota; Viridiplantae; Streptophyta; Magnoliopsida; Poales; Poaceae.